RNAcentral lists this long non-coding RNA (6084 nucleotides) under Gallus gallus (chicken). RNAcentral's name for it is "lncRNA (ENSGALG00010014498.1)". The record is from RNAcentral. Lineage: Eukaryota; Metazoa; Chordata; Aves; Galliformes; Phasianidae.
UAUGGUUUUUAUGUUUAAAAAAAAAAGAAUGGGUUGUUACUUAGAUACAUCAACUAUUUUAUACAUUUUAUAUGCAGCCCAGGACAACUCCUCUUCACUCAAUGCGGUGCUGGCAAUUCGAAUGUUUGGACACUCGUGUUUUAAGGGAAGUGAGACCAAGGCAAACAGUCCUUGAAAUGAACCAAGGAAACGGUACUGUUGUUCUUUCAUGUGAGGUAGAGUAGCAGAUUUCUGCUUCACGCUUUGUUUGUUGUAGGAACUCCUGACACAGUCAGAUGUUUUCUAAGCAAUCACUAAUUUCCCCCCUAAUCUUCUCCAUGGCCUAUGCAGGUCCUACUCAUCUACUAACAAUGUUUGAGCAUCAGUUCCCUUGCCAACUAGAGUCCUCUGUCCCUACUGAAGGAAGAGCAAAAUAUAUCCUUCAUUAACUUGCUUGCCCAGAAUCAUCUUCGGUGAAAUGAAACAUAUUUUCUACUGCUUACAAAAGGUAUUUAUGAGUUCUCAGGCCAGAUUACGUCAAACUAUUCUACUAUUUCUGAAAUGUUCAGGAGAAGGAAACACAGUGGGCCUUAUGCAAAAGCAGAUUUCUGACUCCUGACUGUAAAAUCACAACAAAAUCCCAGAAGGCCUAAUUCAGAGAAACAGUUCCCAGGAGUCUUGAACUCUUUUGACUUUCAUCUCUCCAUACCCAACUAUCCAAAAUGCAGCAUCAUCACGCUAAGAAAAAUCAUGGUCUUGGCUUAAAAAAAAUCAAGAUAAAAACAAAAAGGGAACAAAGGCAAGAUAUGUAUUUUAUUUACCUCCUGGAUUUGCAGAACUCUGAUGUUUGUGUCGAGAUACUUUUUACUGUCAUUCUAGUGAUCAGAAAUUUAAAAUGGAAGAAAUAUAAAUACUGAAGACUUUUUUUUUCUGUGGGAUUUUGAGGCUUUAAAAAGCAGAACACUUGAUCGUAGCUAUAUCAAAGGAUCUGUAACACGGUACUGCAUAAUGCUGUGUAGAAAAAUUGUCUCUUUCAGUUUGACCAGGAAAAGGAAGAAAAGAAAAUGACUCUAAACAAGAAAGUCCAGUUCUCCAUCAUGCAGCAUCACUCACACAGCAUCUGCUUCAGAAACACAUCCAAUAGCCUACUGCCAGAGAACAAAUAUCCGCGUUAAUCAUAAACCACAGAUGAGAAUUAAGAAAUUAACCAUGGUUUCCAGGGUAGAAUUCAAAAGACGUUGCUCAGCCAGGAAUUAUUGCCAACAAUAACAAUGUAAAUUCAUUACAUAGAGCUGGCAUGCAAAACUAAAACAGCGACUUUCCAAGGAAGAUCAGCCUUUGAGGCUUUCUGCAGGAUAGCUAGUUCUGUUCUCAGAAACUAACAGAAGGAUUAUGUUAGACACAGAGAGAACAGGCUGCUGUCAACGUGACUACUGAUACUCAACGUUUUGAUGUCUGUUUCCCUCUACAUAUUUCAGGAUUAAGAGAAUGAGACAUUUUCUUUUUUCUUUUUUUCUAAAUAGAACUUCCUAGCAACACUGAGAAGUUCCCUAUGUGUAGGAAAUCUACAUUCAGUAGUAUAACACUUGUGACUUUAUAGAGUAUGUUAAACCUCCUGUGCAUGCAGAUAUAUAGCUGACACCAGGGAGAACUGCAGGAGAACCUAACUGGAGCUCUGUGCAAUUAAUUCAUUUUCCAGAUCCGUCAGAACCAUCCAUUCACUGCAAAAUGAAAAUUCACUUUGAUAAUGUGGGCUAUUCAUAUCACUAUUCUUGGAAGAAAAGACAGCUGCACUUCCAUGUAUGAGCAUAUAGAUGUCCUAAGCUGACAGGCAUCCACUCACUGAGGGGCAGUUGUUUUAUACUGCUAAGAUUAGCAAAUAAGAGAUUUCUUAUGUUCAACGUACGGUUUGAUGUUAUAGCUGAGCUGCUGAACUGCUGCAGAAAAGGGCUGUCCUGGUCCCUUGCUGUCUGGUUUCGCACCAUUUGAAUAAUACAGCCAUAAAAGGGAGUUGGCUGAGUUGGUUGAUCUAUCGGAAAGGGAUUUGAAACAAGAGGUGGGCACAUAAGAACACAAUGGAUAAAGAGGGUGUGACCGCCCUUCUUGGCAGCUCCCAGGUAUUAAUCUGACAUGACUGCACUGCCAUAUCACAGCUUCAACAUCUUCUGUGAAACAGUUCCUGGUGCAAAACCAGCAAAAUGUGUCCAAAAACUUUUGAGCUCAUUAUGAUUGCUCCAUCUGGCCCAAAACCAGAACUGCAAUACUCUUCUUAUCUACAUUAGUGAUUGAUACUUUUAUCUCACCUACUGCUUAUUGGAACCAAGAACUCAUUUGAUAAGCAUCUUUCUGCUACAGAUAAUGUUUCAUGAAUUUUAAGAGAAAAGUAUUUUAUAACUCAGUUUCUCCACUUACCAGCCACAGUACCAGCCACACAGUUUUUUUUUUUUAACUUCUCUGGGCUCAGGCUUUGAACUUUUACUUCAUAUUGACUCAGGACAGAAAUGUCACUAUUCCCCAGAGAAUUUGUGAAAAUAAUUUAUUUUCAGCCUUAAACUUUCAUUUGCAGUAAGACUGGACGGCCUUGUUUUUACUCAUAUCCGAAUUUAAACCCUGUGAUUUCCCAAAUGUAUUAAAUUGCAGUGUGAUCUAAAAUGCAACGUGGUGAAGGCUAAAUAAAACCUGUUCAGUGCUAUUUUCAAGAGAGGUGUUGUGAUAACUCCUCACAGGUAAUCCCACAUAAACAAUUCUUUUUCUCAAAAGUUCUAUUCUUAAGCCAACAAAAGCUGUUAAAGACCUUUCAGCGGAGUAGCAUUUUUUGUCAGGACACUUCUAAAUUAUCAUCUUCUUUUACAUGACAUGGACAAUAACUAUGCAUGAAAGCCUUGCUCCAUUUUUAGGUUACCUGCCUACACACCUUUUUUGUACUGAUAUACUUUUCCAAUAAAGCAUUAGCUCUGUUACAAAAUGACACACAGAAUGCCUCCACAGCUAAAAUGAGGAUUCCAGUCUUCCAUAGCCCUUUUCCUAAAGAGCUGUUAAUUAGCUUCAUGAAACUACACAGAGGGCACUAGGUCAAGGUUUUAAAGAAAAGUUUGUUGGUUUUUUUGUUUGUUUGUUUGUUUGUUUGUUUUUCCCUGAGAUAAUGGGAAAUGAAAAAGAAGAUGGUAAAAGAUAAUCAUCAACUCGAAUAUUUGUAAACAGAAGAGUUACAGACAGCUCCUGAACACCAAGGCCAGAGAAAUCAGCUGGCUCAAAAUUACGCUGCUUGGGCCUCCCCCCCUCACACAUCCUUGCCUUAGAGAGAAUCAAGGAGUGAAAUAACAGUGAAAGGCUCCAAUCAUGCCUUUUCCACCGUCUCACUGACACAUGGAAGAUCUAGAUGUCAAAACCAGAAAGAGAAGAUGAGAUUUCCUUCAUGCAUACAGGCACAAAUAGGGUAUAGAUCAGGUUACUAUAACAUUAGGGCAAGGACAGUUUGGCUUCUACUAGCCCUGCCUGUUCCAACAUUAUUUGUGAGGAGCCCUUUUGCACAUCAGAUAGAUAAACAGCAAGGGCUUAGCUGGAAUACAUUUCACUCUUCUGAGGCAUACCCAAAUCAAUGGGAGAAGGAUGGCACAGAUUCACCUGAUGACUCUUCUUUAAAGCAUCAGUUCUUUCAACGGUAUUUUUCAAACUCAUAUCUGAGCCCUGCAAAGGAAAGAAGACUGAUAAAGUACAAACCAAUAAUCAGACACAGCACCUAAAACUUUUCUUCAGAUUGUAUAUUUGAAUCUAGUUAUGUCUACAGACACCCUCUCGCAUCAUUCAAGCAUCUAUGCAUUUUGCUACUUUUGGAAUUGGUGGUCAUUUAAUAGAAAUACUGAAUACCCAGUGCUCACUGCAGUUGCUGUGACUUUGAAAAGUCCUACCAGUUUGUUGACAGUGCCAAUCCUUUAAGGACCUAGACAUCCUGCAUGGUGACAUGCUGUUGAUACUGAGGAUCACUGAUGUGUUUAAGCAAGGAGGAAAGGCCACAUGCAUACAGUAACAACCAAGCAGGUACAUAAGUGAUGGCUGGAUUACAGCUUCACAGCACAAAGCUGAGAACAACUCAAGGGUAGAGAGCACAGAACAAGAGUACUCACAGCGAAUAAAACAAUAUUAAAAUCAUUAAAAAUAUUCAAAAUAAGCAGAGCAAGCUUCAAGCCUUCCAAGCCUUUACUGACAUGGGCAAAGUUGCUUGACUUCAGUGCCUAAAGAUCUCCAUAGUAACUGCCAUUUGGGAUUUUCAGAACAUUUUAUGAACAUGUUUGAGCAUACAUGAUUGCAUGCUUUACAGCAUAUCUGCCUCGAGGGUUUUGCUGAGUAUCAUUUCCCUGAUUUUAUAAAUAGAGAAACUGAGUGCUUACGUGUCUCGUUCAAAGUAUUUACACAAAGGAGUCCCUGAGGACUAUGAACACCGCUGCUCGGAGUCUAGAAAUCUGUCUACUUCUCCUAGAGAUACUGUUCAAGUGAAUGGGUGCAGCAAAGCAACUGGUACGGCACAGAGGUGGAGGACUGGUAUGCUGGAAUUUCAAACACUUUGGGACACUUUCUGCUCCCCUCAAGAAAACUUAAAUCACUUAAAUAUAUGUGGUUAAACAAAGUACGGAUAUAUAUCCCCUUGGUUUAUUUCAACGACAUGAAUGCAAACAGGCUAAGUUGGUGAGAAGUGUAUGUAGAAUCUCUUACUGUGUGGUAGGUGAACGGAGUCAGAGGAACUUUAGGAAUAACACUUAAAGUCCCUUGAUUUGAGAAGAAAGCCGUGCCACUUCCUUGUGAUGUCUGUGUGACACUCAUAGUGUGAAACAGCUGAAUGACUUAAAGUUUUAUGCAUUUCUUUACAUGACUGCCAGCAUAAACAUUCUAUUACAAGAAUCUGUUCCUCUCUGGCAUUUUAUGUAAGAUCAGACUGGCGUUUCUGCUAGAACUGCUAUGAACCUGGGCUCUUCAGGCAUCUGGAUACACUAAUAGCAGACAAGAAUUCUUCACUGGACAUUUUAGUCAGGACCCCACCGUUUCUGACUAAUGCAAUUAUCAGAUUAUGCCAGAUGACAUUGGAACAAAGCUAGCAGCCACCAUGCAUGCUCUGCCCCUGCACAGAGAGCCCAUUCACCUACAUGUCUGCCAUCAGUUUGCUUUCAGCUGUCUUCCUAAAGGUAAUGAUAAGAUGGGAUUAAAAUGAGAUCUCCUGGCCCUCAGAGAACACUUAUUCAGUCUCGGAUUGCUAUUAUCUUUCUCUUCAUUUAGCAACUUUCUGGCAUUCUCCACCAAGGAAAGUAGAAAAAAAAAUAGAGAUAUUGAUGGCAGACCCCUCUUCUUUCCUGAUUUCAUCUGGAAAUGAAGCUUGGAAAUUGUCUUUCCUGACAAGCUUUCCUUGAAGAACCACUUGAAGUUCCAAAAGUGAUAACUGAGAAUCAUUUCACCAAGCACAGCGACUCCACAGCCAACCCAGCCUCCCUGAUCUCAAUUAAGACAACUUAGUAAAGACGUUUGUUUAGCGUUUCCAACAACUCUUUCUUCUAGUUACGGUUGAAGAGAUGAAAGGAAGCGUGAACUCAGCCUCAAGAAGCGAAACCAGGCUGAACAAACCAGAUGAUUCCGAAUCAGCCUUGCCUCCGGCUGCUGGCUGACAGCUCUCUGUUCAGCUCUGCUGGGUAACAAGGGGAGGGGAAAGGCACACUGGUGGGUGAGGCAAAGGGAGUGGGAAGCAGGCCAAGGAAGGAGCCUUUCCUCUGUUGUGUAAUCCAGAAUGCAUGCUGCGGUGCUAAUAGUGAGAUGAGAAGUGCCUUCCAGCUUCCAGUCAUCCUGUUGAUGACUUAAACAGCAUGUGAAUAAGAUUUAUGGGGAAAGACUUAUAUACAAGUGUAAAGAAAAGUACAUAGCCAGAACGCUUAAACAAACACAGCAACACAAGUAACCUUGAAACAUGCAGCCUUAUGGGUUUCUUGUUUAACUCUGCUUUCUGUUGGUUCAAUGAGAAUAUUUUUAUAAACCUAACUCCAUCUAUUCAACUAUAUAAAAUUAACCUAUAGCUGUCAGAAUCUGCAUUUGUUCAAUAAGGAAAAUAAAGAAAGAAAGUGCAAG